This 557-nucleotide ribosomal RNA is filed under the name uncultured Acinetobacter sp. RNAcentral describes it as "bacterial SSU rRNA". It matches the Rfam family "Bacterial small subunit ribosomal RNA", at positions 333 to 881 of the family's 1533-position model. The record is from RNAcentral. Lineage: Bacteria; Pseudomonadati; Pseudomonadota; Gammaproteobacteria; Moraxellales; Moraxellaceae.
AGACUCNUACGGGAGGCAGCAGUGGGGAAUAUUGGACAAUGGGGGGAACCCUGAUCCAGCCAUGCCGCGUGUGUGAAGAAGGCCUUUUGGUUGUAAAGCACUUUAAGCGAGGAGGAGGCUUACCUGGUUAAUACCCGGGAUAAGUGGACGUUACUCGCAGAAUAAGCACCGGCUAACUCUGUGCCAGCAGCCGCGGUAAUACAGAGGGUGCAAGCGUUAAUCGGAUUUACUGGGCGUAAAGCGCGCGUAGGUGGCUAAUUAAGUCAAAUGUGAAAUCCCCGAGCUUAACUUGGGAAUUGCAUUCGAUACUGGUUAGCUAGAGUAUGGGAGAGGAUGGUAGAAUUCCAGGUGUAGCGGUGAAAUGCGUAGAGAUCUGGAGGAAUACCGAUGGCGAAGGCAGCCAUCUGGCCUAAUACUGACACUGAGGUGCGAAAGCAUGGGGAGCAAACAGGAUUAGAUACCCUGGUAGUCCAUGCCGUAAACGAUGUCUACUAGCCGUUGGGGCCCUUGAGGCUUUAGUGGCGCAGCUAACGCGAUAAGUAGACCGCCUGGGGAGU